This 78-nucleotide microRNA precursor is filed under the name Schistosoma mansoni. RNAcentral's name for it is "mir-3492 microRNA precursor family". It matches the Rfam family "mir-3492 microRNA precursor family". The record is from Rfam by way of RNAcentral. Lineage: Eukaryota; Metazoa; Platyhelminthes; Trematoda; Strigeidida; Schistosomatidae.
GGCUAUCUGAGUCUAUGCCGAGAUUUUGUCAGACACAAGCCCACCACGGUUGAUGAGACUCCCAAGAUAAGUGAGGCA